GACGAACCGUGCGAACGUUAUUCGGAAUCACUGGGCUUAAAGCGCGUGUAGGCGGGCCGGCACGUCGGUCGCUGAAAUCCCCCGGCUCAACCGGGGAACGGGCGCCGAUACGACCGGCCUGGAGGGGGGUAGGGGGAGCCGGAACUUCCGGUGGAGCGGUGAAAUGCGUUGAGAUCGGAAGGAACGCCCGUGGCGAAAGCGGGCUCCUGGACCCCACCUGACGCUGAGACGCGAAAGCCAGGGGAGCGAACGGG
RNAcentral lists this ribosomal RNA (254 nucleotides) under uncultured bacterium. Its description in RNAcentral is "partial 16S ribosomal RNA". It matches the Rfam family "Bacterial small subunit ribosomal RNA", at positions 524 to 776 of the family's 1533-position model. The record is from RNAcentral.